RNAcentral lists this ribosomal RNA (253 nucleotides) under uncultured bacterium. RNAcentral's name for it is "partial 16S ribosomal RNA". It matches the Rfam family "Bacterial small subunit ribosomal RNA", at positions 524 to 776 of the family's 1533-position model. The record is from RNAcentral.
UACGAAGGGGGCUAGCGUUGCUCGGAAUCACUGGGCGUAAAGCGCACGUAGGCGGGUUGCUAAGUCAGGGGUGAAAUCCUGGAGCUCAACUCCAGAACUGCCUUUGAUACUGGCGAUCUCGAGUCCGGGAGAGGUGAGUGGAACUGCGAGUGUAGAGGUGAAAUUCGUAGAUAUUCGCAAGAACACCAGUGGCGAAGGCGGCUCACUGGCCCGGUACUGACGCUGAGGUGCGAAAGCGUGGGGAGCAAACGGG